Cinara cedri is the source of this 323-nucleotide non-coding RNA. The record is from the annotation of a GenBank genome assembly. NCBI's taxonomy places the organism in Eukaryota, Metazoa, Arthropoda, Insecta, Hemiptera, Aphididae.
AGUUAAGUAUGAAAACAUUCGAAUUCAAAACGAAAUACAAUAAUAUGCACAAUGUAAAAGUUACUGGGAAUUUAAUUGCAUAAGCUAUGUAAUAGUUGUUGAAAACUAUAUAUCCGCAGUGGUUUAUCGGCUUAGAAAACUUUAUUGUGCCCAUUUGUAAUUGAAUAUUUUUGAAUACUUAAGUUAACAAUUUUCUAAUUGCAUUUAUGCGCGUGUAUAAUUAUAUAUGUAGGUCAUUCGAACCCCCCGGAAAAUAGCCGAAUUCGACAUUGAAUCGCAAGUAUCCACCCUAUAGGUACCUAACAUAUCGAACGUGUGCGUGA